CCUACGGGUGGCUGCAGUGAGGAAUAUUGGGCAAUGGGCGCGAGCCUGAACCAGCAAAGUCGCGUGAGGGAAGACGGCCCUACGGGUUGUAAACCUCUUUUGCCGGGGAGCAACGGGCGCCACGUGUGGCGCCACUGAGAGUACCCGGAGAAAAAGCAUCGGCUAACUCCGUGCCAGCAGCCGCGGUAAUAUGGAGGGUGAGCGCGUGAUCCGGAUUUAUUGGGGUAAAAGGGUGCGUAGGCGGAGCGUUAAGUCAGUGGUCAAAUUGAGGGGCUCAACCCCUUCCCGCCAUUGAAACUGGCGCUCUUGAGUGGAAGAGAAGUAUGCGGAAUGCGUGGUGUAGCGGUGAAAUGCAUAGAUAUCACGCAGAACCCCGGUUGCGAAGGCAGCAUGCCGGCUUCCUACUGACGCUGAGGCACGAAAGCGUGGGGAUCGAACAGGAUUAGAUACCCUAGUAGUC
Molecule: ribosomal RNA, 460 nt
Filed under: uncultured bacterium
Lineage: Bacteria
Description: partial 16S ribosomal RNA
Rfam family: Bacterial small subunit ribosomal RNA
Source: RNAcentral